GACGAACGCUGGCGGCGUGCUUAACACAUGCAGGUCGUACGGUAAGGCCCUUUCGGGGGUCCACGAGUGGCGAACGGGUGAGUAACACGUGAGUAACCUGCCCACAACUUUGGGAUAACGCUAGGAAACUGGUGCUAAUACUGGAUAUGUGCUCCUGCUGCAUGGUGGGGGUUGGAAAGCUCCGGCGGUUGUGGAUGGACUCGCGGCCUAUCAGCUUGUUGGUGGGGUAGUGGCCUACCAAGGCGGCGACGGGUAGCCGGCCUGAGAGGGUGACCGGCCACAUUGGGACUGAGAUACGGCCCAGACUCCGACGGGAGGCAGCAGUGGGGAAUAUUGCACAAUGGGCGCAAGCCUGAUGCAGCAACGCCGCGGGCGGGAUGACGGCCUUCGGGUUGUAAACCGCUUUCAGCAGGGACGAAGCUUUUUGUGACGGUACCUGCAGAAGAAGCACCGGCUAACUACGUG
RNAcentral lists this ribosomal RNA (465 nucleotides) under uncultured bacterium. RNAcentral describes it as "partial 16S ribosomal RNA". It matches the Rfam family "Bacterial small subunit ribosomal RNA", at positions 28 to 507 of the family's 1533-position model. The record is from RNAcentral.